GAUGAACGCUGGCGGCGUGCCUAAUACAUGCAAGUCGAGCGAACGGACGAGAAGCUUGCUUCUCUGAUGUUAGCGGCGGACGGGUGAGUAACACGUGGAUAACCUACCUAUAAGACUGGGAUAACUUCGGGAAACCGGAGCUAAUACCGGAUAAUAUUUUGAACCGCAUGGUUCAAAAGUGAAAGACGGUCUUGCUGUCACUUAUAGAUGGAUCCGCGCUGCAUUAGCUAGUUGGUAAGGUAACGGCUUACCAAGGCAACGAUGCAUAGCCGACCUGAGAGGGUGAUCGGCCACACUGGAACUGAGACACGGUCCAGACUCCUACGGGAGGCAGCAGUAGGGAAUCUUCCGCAAUGGGCGAAAGCCUGACGGAGCAACGCCGCGUGAGUGAUGAAGGUCUUCGGAUCGUAAAACUCUGUUAUUAGGGAAGAACAUAUGUGUAAGUAACUGUGCACAUCUUGACGGUACCUAAUCAGAAAGCCACGGCUAACUACGUGCCAGCAGCCGCGGUAAUACGUAGGUGGCAAGCGUUAUCCGGAAUUAUUGGGCGUAAAGCGCGCGUAGGCGGUUUUUUAAGUCUGAUGUGAAAGCCCACGGCUCAACCGUGGUGGGUCAUUGGAAACUGGAAAACUUGAGUGCAGAAGAGGAAAGUGGAAUUCCAUGUGUAGCGGUGAAAUGCGCAGAGAUAUGGAGGAACACCAGUGGCGAAGGCGACUUUCUGGUCUGUAACUGACGCUGAUGUGCGAAAGCGUGGGGAUCAAACAGGAUUAGAUACCCUGGUAGUCCACGCCGUAAACGAUGAGUGCUAAGUGUUAGGGGGUUUCCGCCCCUUAGUGCUGCAGCUAACGCAUUAAGCACUCCGCCUGGGGAGUACGACCGCAAGGUUGAAACUCAAAGGAAUUGACGGGGACCCGCACAAGCGGUGGAGCAUGUGGUUUAAUUCGAAGCAACGCGAAGAACCUUACCAAAUCUUGACAUCCUUUGACAACUCUAGAGAUAGAGCUUUCCCCUUCGGGGGACAAAGUGACAGGUGGUGCAUGGUUGUCGUCAGCUCGUGUCGUGAGAUGUUGGGUUAAGUCCCGCAACGAGCGCAACCCUUAAGCUUAGUUGCCAUCAUUAAGUUGGGCACUCUAAGUUGACUGCCGGUGACAAACCGGAGGAAGGUGGGGAUGACGUCAAACCAUCAUGCCCCUUAUGAUUUGGGCUACACACGUGCUACAAUGGACAAUACAAAGGGCAGCGAAACCGCGAGGUCAAGCAAAUCCCAUAAAGUUGUUCUCAGUUCGGAUUGUAGUCUGCAACUCGACUACAUGAAGCUGGAAUCGCUAGUAAUCGUAGAUCAGCAUGCUACGGUGAAUACGUUCCCGGGUCU
Molecule: ribosomal RNA, 1372 nt
Filed under: uncultured bacterium
Lineage: Bacteria
Description: bacterial SSU rRNA
Rfam family: Bacterial small subunit ribosomal RNA
Source: RNAcentral